AGCGCAGACGGUUAUUUAAGCAAGAUGUGAAAGCCCCGGGCUCAACCUGGGAACUGCGUUUUGAACUGGGUAACUAGAGUGUGUCAGAGGGGGGUAGAAUUCCACGUGUAGCAGUGAAAUGCGUAGAGAUGUGGAGGAAUACCGAUGGCGAAGGCAGCCCCCUGGGAUAACACUGACGUUCAUGCUCGAAAGCGUGGGGAGCAAACA
Molecule: ribosomal RNA, 207 nt
Filed under: uncultured bacterium
Lineage: Bacteria
Description: partial 16S ribosomal RNA
Rfam family: Bacterial small subunit ribosomal RNA
Source: RNAcentral